GUCAUAGAGAUAAGCAAACGGUGACUUGAUGGUCAACAGGAGGAAAAGACGUUGCGUUGAGGGCUGAACAUGAUCCCAGUUGGGUACAGCCUUUUGACUUAACGUAUAAUAAGACUGACGAAGAUUAAAAGCUUAUUGGAAAUCCUUGGUCUACCACCUAUCAGGAUAUUGAGUACGUGGAGCAGUCUAAAGUAACAAUAACGUCU
This is a long non-coding RNA of Dreissena polymorpha, 206 nucleotides long. RefSeq lists it as uncharacterized. NCBI's taxonomy places the organism in Eukaryota, Metazoa, Mollusca, Bivalvia, Myida, Dreissenidae. The record is from RefSeq and is a predicted model, not a curated record. The transcript has 3 exons.